This 602-nucleotide ribosomal RNA is filed under the name uncultured bacterium. RNAcentral's name for it is "bacterial SSU rRNA". The stretch from base 1 to 516 matches the Rfam family "Bacterial small subunit ribosomal RNA", at positions 338 to 873 of the family's 1533-position model. The record is from RNAcentral.
CCUACGGGAGGCAGCAGUGGGGAAUCUUGCGCAAUGGGCGAAAGCCUGACGCAGCCAUGCCGCGUGAAUGAUGAAGGUCUUAGGAUUGUAAAAUUCUUUCAGUAGGGACGAUAAUGACGGUACCUACAGAAGAAGCCCCGGCUAACUUCGUGCCAGCAGCCGCGGUAAUACGAAGGGGGCUAGCGUUGCUCGGAAUUACUGGGCGUAAAGGGAGCGUAGGCGGGUUAUCAAGUUGGAGGUGAAAGCCCAGGGCUCAACCUUGGAAUUGCCUUCAAAACUGAUAGCCUAGAGUAUGAUAGAGGUAAGUGGAACUCCGAGUGUAGAGGUGAAAUUCGUAGAUAUUCGGAAGAACACCAGUGGCGAAGGCGACUUACUGGAUCAUGACUGACGCUGAGGCUCGAAAGCGUGGGGAGCAAACAGGAUUAGAUACCCUGGUAGCCCACGCUGUAAACGAUGAUUGCUAGUUGUCGGACGGCAUGCCGUUCGGUGACGCNGCUACGACAUAGACACUCCGCCGUGGGAGGUACGGUCGCGAAGAAUAAACUAACAAUAGAAGUUAGACGGCGUGAGACGUGCCGACGGACGACGACGAGGGAGGUAGG